Long non-coding RNA from Symphalangus syndactylus (siamang), 4911 nucleotides. RefSeq lists it as uncharacterized. Lineage: Eukaryota; Metazoa; Chordata; Mammalia; Primates; Hylobatidae. The record is from RefSeq and is a predicted model, not a curated record.
AGAAGCGCCUCCUCGCUGUGCGGUCAUGUGACGGAGGCCGGAAGGCAGGUCCGACAGCCUCUGGGGAAGGAAAGCCCAGAGUAGCUGAGGAACUGGGGGGCCCACACCGGCCUGCUGGGGGCUUCAAAUGUUCUUUUAGGAGUGACAAGGGAAUCGGCCUGUCCAGCUCUGCAGCCCUGGGGGCCACAGAGGACAGGGGCACAGCCGGAGCCUCUGCUCAGGGCUCCGGCCUCCAUCUCUGGGAGCGAGCACCCGUGGAUGCCUCACUCUACCCAGGGUCACUGUCGCGCAGCAGCAGCUUUCCAGAAGGCAGCCGGCCAUUGACGAGUGACCAGGUGGAGACGGUGAAGGCCAGAAGCUCCGCCAGAGGCCGCGUGCCAGCCCCUCGCCUGUGAGGGGGGGCCUGGGUCUCCGGGCUCCCCAGGACGGUGAUUCCCCCUGCAGGUCUCGGUUUCCUAGGACAUGGAGUGGGGACGGACGUGGCUCCUCACCUCACAAGAUUGCGGAGGCACGUGAAGCCGAUGGUCCUGAGCAUCUGGACAAGUGCCCAGCCCAGAGUAAGCGCUUAGCAAAUCCGAGUGAUUCGGCAGCACCACUGAGCCUCAGUUUCCUCAUCUGCAAGACAGGGUUACGCUUUCCUUACAGGGAGGAGGGUUCCGUGGGGUCAUCAGGUCUACAGCUUCACUCCUGAAGCCAGAGAGACCAGGAGCCCAGCGGGAGGAACGAACAACUCCAGACGCGCCACCUUAAGAGCUGUGACACUCGCCGCAAGGGUCCAUGGCUUCAUUCUUGAGGCUGGAGUGCAGCGGCGCAAUCUCGGCUCACUGCAACCUUCGCCUCCCGGGUUCAAGCGAUUCUCAUGCCUCAGCUUCCCUGGUAGCUGGGACUACAGGCUGGAGUGUAAUGGCGCGAUCUUGGAUCACUGCAACCUCUGUCUCCCAGUUCAAGCGAUUCUCCUGCCUCAGCCUCCUGAGUAGUUGGGAUUACAGGUGCCUGCCACCACACCCAACUAAUUUUUGUAUUUUUAGUGGAGACGGAGUUUCAUCAUGUUAGCCAGGAUGCCCUGGAACUCCUGACCUCAGGUGAUCCACUUACCUCAGCCUUCCAACGUACUGGAAUUACAGAUGCCCCCUGGAUGGGUAUUUAUGGCUACUGUCCUUAGAUUAAAGCAGAAGGCCCAUGGGGUUCAUGGACCAUCUGUACAAGAAUCACCCGCUUUAGGAAAAACAGAUUCAAGGGCCUAGCCUAGCCCUGAGGAAAAAUCUCCAAUGAAAGCCUGAGCACCGCACUAGAGCUGCAUCACUCCCCAGCAGCAGGGUCCUGAAGGCCAGGCAGAUGUCCCCACCCCACAAACCAGAUGAAGUCAAAGUGGGAACCAACUUGGGACCAUUUAACCCGGAUGUCAGGCCGGAGCCUGCGGGUGAGGGUAACAGCAUCGCCAAGACUGUGAAGCAGGUUUGUGCCAGGUGCACCUCAUUUAGUCCAAACCACCAGCCUGCCAGACAGGUAUUCGAGUUCUACUUUACAACUGAGGGGACAAACUCUCAAGACACAGGCCAAGUGCCUCGUUCUGGUUACAGAGCUGGUGAGGGUGAGUGAGGGCAGCCUGCACAGUCCAUUCCCUCUCUGUAAUGCCACAGACCUGACCUAGAAGCCUCUCUGGAGGCUGCCACAGAGAACGCAAAGCUAAAAGCAGGCACCAGGACACUCACAGGUGGGCAGGGCCAUGUGGAGGGGACCACUGGCUCAGCCAUGUCACUGUGCCACAGGACUCACACUUUUGCCCAAACAAGAGGCCGGGAUUGUGGGUGUCAUUGUGUAACUGGGGUUCUACCUGUCCCUGAGGAGCUCAAUUUGGCCUCUAUCCCUGUGUUGCCAUCUGAAGCACCAAUUACCAGUGUGAUAUGUGUGUCCGGAAAAGCCAAGCAAAACACGGCCUGGCUUAGUCUGCACCCCCCCGUUUCCUGAGUUAUGCGGAGCAGAAACAAAUGAAACUGCCUGUGCCUGCCGCUGUAGCACAUGCCCCAGAAGGGCUGCGUGGGCAUCCCUGGGGCCCCUUCUUGUCAUCCAGGCUCUUUGCCUGCCCUGAUUUGGAGGUGGCUCAAGCCCCGCCAUCUCCUCCCUGGGCAGGUGGGAGCGACUGUGCAUUCCAGCCGGAUAUCCUGACAGCUCUGGUGUCAGGGGAUGCAGGCUGAGCUGACCCCUUCCAUCUACCAUUGUAAUCGACCCCAAAAAAGGAACUUGGAGGGGCUCACAUGCCAGUAGUACAUUCCUCCGGGGCUGCUGCCUGACAGGGAGUGGGGGUGUUAUCUCCCUGAGUACAGCUGAUAGUGCCUUAUGGAGAGAUGUCACAUGCCACCUCAAUGGAGGAUCAACGCAGAGAAUUUGAGGUCAAGGGUUUAGGCCGAAUGAUUUCUAUUUAUAAAAAGGAGUGUCCAGGGGGAAGCAGAGGGGUAGAAGACUGGCUUGGCCUGGGUGCCAGUUGGCAGGAUGACAGUCAAGGGCAGAAUGGAGCCUGCAGCGCUUCAGGUACAUCUCUCCCUUUACAGCUAAGCCCUCCGCCACAAGCGUCUCCUGUCAGAGCUUGAGUUCCUUUGUCUCUAGACUAGCACGAGCCCACGUGGGAGAAACGUGCCCUGUGACUGGUUGUGAAUGUCAUGGGGACUGUCCUCCCACUUCACCUGUGAACACAGGGUGGAGAAGGUGACAGGCUCUUCAAUUCUCAAGGACCAAAAAGAGCACACAUUAAAUUUUUGGAGACCCCAGCCCUUUGUGAGAGGCAGAGCUCCUAGAUAACGGACCGUACAGACAGCCCCUCCCUUUCCUAACUGCACAGAGCGCAGGGUGACAGUCAUCCAGAGACACCACGGAUCUAAUUCCAGCUCUUGGCUCUGCUGGCAUCUGGUUGAGGGACGGAUUUCUGAAACGCAACAGUGCUAUACAAUGAGAUUCCUCUUCUCAUGAGCUUAAGAAAUCACCAAGCACAAAGCCAGGUGGGCGUCCAGCCUCUAUCUGAAUCCUCCGGAGCCAGAGUCCCCAGGAUGGAGGCUGGGAAUGUGUACUUGACAACUCUGCAGGUGACCCUGGGGCACAGGCGAGAUGGGGACCUUCAGACCAGGUGGUGACACAGUGGAGACCUCACCAUGGUCUACUGUCCCCACAUAAGCCAUCAGAACCAAAGAGGUCACACUGUCUGCAACAUGAUGAAUGUCAUGUCAAACUUUUAUUAAAACAUUAAAAAAUAAUACAACCUGCCAAUAUGUAAAACUCUAAAAAAAAUCCCAACUUCCCCCCUGCUCAUGACCCAAGCCAAAGCACCGUCAGAUUCUGGGCCUGAAAGAGAAAUUCUUACAUCUGUUUUCAAUGCGAGACGGUCCUUGUUUGAUGGCAACUAUCUAGGAUGUUACACGCCUCAAAGAUACUGCAUUAAAGAUAAAGAAGCACUCUAGUAAAACCGCAGUGAUGAGCUCUGGGCCGUGCUAGCAAACACUGUUGUCAAAUCCAGCAUCGUUCUGCUAGUGUUGUCUGGCAAAAGCAAUGUCUUCACACUUCCUGGGUCUACCCAAGGGCUAUCUGCACUGUGGUUAGUAGACACUGGGUAGGUGUGGCUACCAAUGUCACUGCCACAUACACAAUAUAAAGGCUGUCUUCUCAAGUAACUGGCCCCCUCCUCUCUGGAGUAGGACAAGCAGCACCCAAGAGCCACAUGGAGAUGAGCGGACAAGGCCGGCUAAGGGGCAGCACUGUCCUGCCUCACGCUGGCUACUAUUGUACUGUGCUGAAAAGCACUAUGGCUGCUUCUGAAACUCAACUGCUGCUGACAUGAGUGGCUUCCUCUGCCUCCACUCAAUCGCAGAGUGCGUCCUUGGAUGGUCCUGAUACACAAUGGCAAAAAGAACAUGGAGAGGAGAUAACCGAGUUUCGGCCUCAAAAAGAUGACCCACCAGCAUUCAACAUCUUCCCUACGUGGAGGGCGCUAGGUCCAAGUGAGACCACGGCACAUUCGAUGCUGUUUAUCAACACUGACGCUGGUGACUUCUGAUGCCAUCCUUGAAGACACAGUGUUCUGGCGGAUGGAGGCUCUGCUGGCUUCUCAGAGCCACAGAAACGGGGCAAUCUCCUUGGCUGUGAUCUGAAAAAACCCACAUACGUUCUAUACGGAAACAGACAGUUUAAUAGUGGCAGGGAAAACCCAACAUGAAAUAUAAAACAAGUAAUCAUGCAUCUCGUGAGUUCUGGUUUCUGUUCCUUCUUUCUGGGUGUAUGUGUUUUGAUGGCAACGUCGGUCUCAACAGCCUGCUCCAACAUUUCUCGGUGAAGAAGCUGAGGGUGCGGUUGGUCCCAGGGACCGAAAGGCCUGCUGACACCACCUCAGCUUCGCCAGCCACCAAAACCCUGGACAGACCUGCAAGGAAGCACAGGAGAGUGGUGGAGUCAGCUGCUCUGUCACAAAGCAGUCACAGGCUCUGCUGCUCUGCCUGUGUGCAAAGGAUGCUGCUUAAGAGUUCAUUGGCAAAAACAGUUUUUGAAAACUACUAGACUUGGAUUUCUAAGAUCCAGGAUUCUACAUCCCUCCUGGCAGACUGAAACCUAAAGAACAAAAACUUCUGAUUAUAUAAUUUCACGAGUUAAAAGGAGCUGAAUUUUAAGGAAAAUUCGGAGAGUACUAUCCAAAUGAAGUCUGCAUGCUCUCCUCCCAGCAUCCUCGGCUUGCUCUGCUGCCGCUCAUUUAUGCUUGUCUGCUUGCAUUCACAUCAAGUCACUCCAAUACUAAGAAACAGAGCGAUUUGGGCCUUGGGAGAGAAGAGGGGAGCAGCUCAAUACACAGAUCCUCUCCCUGCAGCUCUGAUGUCUUUUCAUGAUUAUGCAGGACAUCUCAUUAAAAAACCAAAAAUAAAAAAGCAAAACAGA